Molecule: non-coding RNA, 556 nt
Organism: Paramuricea clavata
Lineage: Eukaryota; Metazoa; Cnidaria; Anthozoa; Malacalcyonacea; Plexauridae
Source: the annotation of a GenBank genome assembly
CUGACUUAGACAUUUUUUGAAUAUUAAAUUAUUAGAAAUACAUCCAAUGGCCAUGCCUAUCGUAAAAAGGAGGGGUUAAUUGAGUUAAAAAAACCUCACAUUUUUUCAUCUAUUUUGAACUCCAUUUCAUCCUUUACAGUGAAAGCUAGCAUACAACAGAAAUAUUACUUGUGAAACUUAUGGAUUCUGUUGUUCUUUGUUUGCUACAGACAUACGGCUAGUUCGUCCUUUAGUCGAGAACGAGUGAUUUUUGAUCGCUUCGAGCACAUCUUGUGUUUCAUGGAGAACAGGCUCUAAUAGCAGACUAUCUUCAAACUUAUCCUGAAUCUCAUUUUUUAAUCGAUCUCAAAUUUAUGUUUUACAGUUUCUUGUUUUUGAUGCAGGACUUUCUCAGAGUGUCUCGAUGGUAUUCAUAUAAAAAAUAAUCAUGAUUUCAGUACUAGCUUUGGGCUGCUGAAAACACACACGCGUUUGGAAUGCAGACAAAUUGCCACAUUUUUCGGGGAAACUUUUGUUAAAGUUCGAGUCAAGCAGUCCCUUAAUACUUGCUAGACUA